This 455-nucleotide ribosomal RNA is filed under the name uncultured bacterium. RNAcentral's name for it is "bacterial SSU rRNA". It matches the Rfam family "Bacterial small subunit ribosomal RNA", at positions 340 to 786 of the family's 1533-position model. The record is from RNAcentral.
UACGGGAGGCAGCAGUGGGGAAUAUUGGACAAUGGGCGCAAGCCUGAUCCAGCCAUGCCGCGUGUGUGAAGAAGGCCUUCGGGUUGUAAAGCACUUUUGUCCGGAAAGAAAAGCUUAGGGUUAAUAACCUUGAGUCAUGACGGUCCGGAAGAAUAAGCACCGGCUAACUUCGUGCCAGCAGCCGCGGUAAUACGAAGGGUGCAAGCGUUACUCGGAAUUACUGGGCGUAAAGCGUGCGUAGGUGGUUUGUUAAGUCUGAUGUGAAAGCCCUGGGCUCAACCUGGGAAUGGCAUUGGAAACUGGCUUACUAGAGUGCGGUAGAGGGGUGUGGAAUUCCCGGUGUAGCAGUGAAAUGCGUAGAUAUCGGGAGGAACAUCUGUGGCGAAGGCGACACCCUGGCCAGCACUGACACUGAGGGUACGAAAGCGUGGGGAGCGAAACAGGGAUUAGAUACC